GAUUUUACCUGACAGGGAAGAUACCAUGAUCAUGAAGGUGGUUUACUCAGGGCAAGGCUGAUCCAAAUCACUGGGGAUAUGCUGACCCCUGCAAUUUCUCCACAUGGGAGAAACUCAAAUGGAUAAUUUGUGUUGGUGAGGGGUUGCAUUUGCACUCCCCCC
RNAcentral lists this small nuclear RNA (162 nucleotides) under Dasypus novemcinctus (nine-banded armadillo). RNAcentral describes it as "U1 spliceosomal RNA (ENSDNOG00000035331.1)". It matches the Rfam family "U1 spliceosomal RNA". Rfam says of the family: U1 is a small nuclear RNA (snRNA) component of the spliceosome (involved in pre-mRNA splicing). Its 5' end forms complementary base pairs with the 5' splice junction, thus defining the 5' donor site of an intron. The record is from RNAcentral. Lineage: Eukaryota; Metazoa; Chordata; Mammalia; Cingulata; Dasypodidae.